RNAcentral lists this unclassified non-coding RNA (285 nucleotides) under Mycoplasma sp. Its description in RNAcentral is "16S-23S ribosomal RNA intergenic spacer". Lineage: Bacteria; Bacillati; Mycoplasmatota; Mollicutes; Mycoplasmatales; Mycoplasmataceae. The record is from RNAcentral.
CUACGGAGUACAUACAUAAUUCGUUGAAGAAUUAUUUACCUGAAUAAGACUAUUUUUAAAUACCGUUAUGUACAUUGUCAAUAGUCCAAUGAUAUAUCUAGUUUUGAGAGAGCUUACUCUCAUAUGUUCUUUGAAAACUGAAUAGUAAAGAUAUUAAUUAAUAUAACAACGACAUCAAAAAAACAUUUUUUAGUCAAUUUGUUUUGUGAUACCGAGUUGAGAAUUAUUAGCAAUAAUAAUUUAUUAAAAUGUCUUUGAAUACAUCAACAAUAGGAAAAUACAUAA